AUGAACGUGUUCGCGGGGGGUGGCCGAGGCGCCGGCGAGGGACGACGUGGGGGCGCUGCUGGAGCUGACGCCGCACAAGAUGGCGGUGUGCCACCUCGUGCAGGUCUUGGCGCCGCCGGCCCCCUUCCAGUCCGUCGCCCACCACAACCGCCUCAGCCUCUUCCUCUUCUCCCUCACCCGCGUACGUUCCUCUCGGUCCUACGCUCGUGCCCCCUUUCACUCUCGUCCAUGUUGGCAGCAGCAGUGGUGAAUUCUCUUUUCACUACAUGCUACAAGUACAACAUGCAAGCAGAGAAUGCAGCUGUUCUUUUAUUACUUGCGGAAAUACAUAAAAGAGAACUAAUAUUUUCGCUCCCUCUCCCACAGAAGUCCGACAACGCAGUCCUUGGACUCCCUUACGCGUUAGCCAGCCAAUCGUUCUGCAAAUCAUUUAAUUUGGAUCUGCUUGAAGCUUCAGCCACACUUACUCUCGCUGAACUGUGGCUAGCUCUUGGAUCAAGCCAUUUAAAGAGGGCCCUAGGUCUUGUUUAUCAAAGCCUUCCUAUGAUUCUCGUCCAUGGCAGUCUUGAGCUGCGUGCACAAUCUCAGAUAGUCUUAGCAAAAUUUUUUGAAGAUGCUCGUGCUGUUCUCAACCCACUAAAUCAAGCGGCUGAAGACGUGCAGGUUUUAGAGUACCACGAGAUGGCGGCAGAGGUGUAUUAUCUCAAGGCAAUGACAUAUAACCACCUGGGAAAGGAAGGCAAGAGGGAGGAAGCCGCAGCUUGUUUCAAGGAGCACGUUACUGCCCUCGAGAACCUGUGCGACAAGGAGGAUUCACUUGCUUACUGA
This 828-nucleotide ribosomal RNA is filed under the name Triticum aestivum (bread wheat). RNAcentral describes it as "partial small subunit ribosomal RNA". The record is from RNAcentral. Lineage: Eukaryota; Viridiplantae; Streptophyta; Magnoliopsida; Poales; Poaceae.